RNAcentral lists this long non-coding RNA (1220 nucleotides) under Meleagris gallopavo (turkey). Its description in RNAcentral is "lncRNA (ENSMGAG00000021509.1)". The record is from RNAcentral. Lineage: Eukaryota; Metazoa; Chordata; Aves; Galliformes; Phasianidae.
CCCCAAAUGGCCAAGGAAACCAUUUUCAGAGCAGCAACCCGAUGGGCAUCCGCACCAAGAUGGAACCAGAGCAGGACAAACGCCUGUCCUCAGCUCUCCAUCUGGUCUCCGUGCCCCCACGACAGCCCUGGGGACACAGGCAGCCCCACACGGCCAUGGAAAUGGCUGGCAGAGCAGCAACCCGAAAGACAUCUGGACACACACAGAACCAAAGCACCGCAGCCUCUGCCCAACAACCCGGGUCUGCACCUGCCCAAGGCACCCACCGAAGCAUGAGGAAAGCACCUGCCCUGUUCUGCACUGCUCUGCACUCCUACAGUCAGCCUGAGGAUCCACACUGCACGCACAGUGGCAGCUCCCCAGCACAUCCCAGCUACAGACCCAAUCGCAGACCUACACACACACGGAUGCUCUCAAGGACAAAGGCAGCUCCCCAGCACAUCCCAGCUACAGACCCAAUCGCAGACCUACACACACACGGAUGCUCUCAAGGACAAAGGCAGCUGCUCUACGCUCACCUCAUCUUCGUUGGAAGCUGAUCAGAGCAUCUCAAAAUUAAAAUAACCUUUCAAACAGACUUCUUGAUUCAUUAAGCUCGUCUGCUUCUUGUAACAUCUCUUUCAGGAACCUUCUGGGGGUUUUCCUUAUCAUGUUCAUCUCCUUUUAUUUGUGCAUCGUAAUUAUAUUCUCUUCUCAUUUGUGAUCAUCUUUCUCCCCUUCCCAUUUUUAUUCUCAGACAUUCACCAACAAGCCUUUGUCUUAUAAAGUGUAUUGUAAGCUGAAGGAGACCCAUGAAACCUCACUGUGGCCCUCCAAUACUUGAAGGAAGCAUAUAAAUAGGAGGGGGAAUGGCUGGUUACAGGGGUGGGUGGUGAUAGGACAGGGGGAAUGGUUUUAAAGUGAGCCAGGGGAGGCUUAGGUUGGAUGUGAGGAGGAAGUUUUUCAUGCAGAGGGUGGUGAGGCAGUGGAACAGGUUGCCCAAGGAGGCUGUGGAUGCUCAUCCCAUCUCUGCAGGCAUUCAAGGCCAGGCUGGAUGUGGCUCUGGGCAGCCUGGGCUGCUGGUUGGUGACCUGCACACAGCAGGGGGUUGGAACUGGAUGAGCACUGUGCUCCUUUGCAACCCAGGCCAUUCUGCGAUCCUGUGAUUCUAAGAAUGGGAGCAGGUUGUUGGUUUGGGAUUACCACAAUUACCACCACCACACACCAGCACCCCAACCUCA